AGAACGAACGCUGGCGGCAUGCCUAACACAUGCAAGUCGAACGGGCCCUUCGGGGCUAGUGGCGCACGGGUGCGUAACGCGUGGGAAUCUGCCCUUAGGUUCGGAAUAACUCAGGGAGACUUGAGCUAAUACCGUAUAAUGACUUCGGUCCAAAGAUUUAUCGCCUAGGGAUGAGCCCGCGUAGGAUUAGCUUGUUGGUGAGGUAAAGGCUCACCAAGGCGACGAUCCUUAGCUGGUCUGAGAGGAUGAUCAGCCACACGUGGGACUGAGAC
RNAcentral lists this ribosomal RNA (272 nucleotides) under uncultured soil bacterium. RNAcentral's name for it is "partial 16S ribosomal RNA". It matches the Rfam family "Bacterial small subunit ribosomal RNA", at positions 26 to 325 of the family's 1533-position model. The record is from RNAcentral.